This is a long non-coding RNA of Daphnia pulicaria, 830 nucleotides long. RefSeq lists it as uncharacterized. The transcript has 3 exons. The record is from RefSeq and is a predicted model, not a curated record. Lineage: Eukaryota; Metazoa; Arthropoda; Branchiopoda; Diplostraca; Daphniidae.
CAAAGUGACCACUGACCACCUCACAGUGAUGAGUGAAGGUGUCGCAAAGCUUUAAUCACGAAUAAUUUAAUUGUUUGAUUGUAGUGAGUAUAUGGCAAAUGAGUCCGUUAACGAAAAAGUUUACUUUUUACCUCUCGAUUGCUGUGUGACCCACGGAUAUUCCGUUAGACCGUUACCCCUCUAAUGUGUUGUCUUCUAAAGCCAAUCUCUUACAGCUUGUAUGAACAAGGCUAUCUCGAGAUUGAGUGUUUAAGUCACGACCGACGGACCGACAUCGGCGCGAAUGCGUUCAUUGCAAAACGCAUCUUUGCCGAAAGAACUGACAUCCGGGAAGAAAUUGGCUUUGGCGAUGAAAUGCAUGCGUUGGGGAAAGAAAUACGUAACACUACUACCAGUCCCCCAUCAAAUGAAAUAUUGCUGCAUUUUUUACUUUUGGUCAAGACAGAAUUUGAAAAACCUCUUUAUCAAGAGCUAUCUACUAUCUGAGGCAGGGCACAGUGCAGGAAGAAUUCAUCACGUGAACGCUAUUUCGUGUGCCCUGACACGCAGGAUACGAAUUACUUGUAAUCUAAAAUUGAGUGAAGAUAGUGGACGAGAGAAGCAACACAGAAGCUGCUCAGUGCUCACCUCUGGAAGACGUUGAGCGAAGAUGAAUUGGAAGUGAAAUGCAGUCCGUUUCGUUUCCUCCACUGCCAAAUCAAUCGCUCUGCUGCACUGAUUGAAGUGUUGACGAAUCUAGUCAAUCGGUCCACCCAUCUAAUUGUGAAGUUCCCCUGAUUGAUUUAGUCGUUAAUAAUUUUUUUUUAAUGACACUGAAGAGGAUCUCUGGU